This is a long non-coding RNA of Miniopterus natalensis, 1013 nucleotides long. RefSeq lists it as uncharacterized. The record is from RefSeq and is a predicted model, not a curated record. Lineage: Eukaryota; Metazoa; Chordata; Mammalia; Chiroptera; Miniopteridae.
UGGACAGUGUGGGCGGCUGCAGGCCGCGCCGGCCCCCACCGGACCUGGGCUUUCCAAAAUAGGUGAAAACCUGAGACAAAGAAGUUGAAGGACGCUGGGCUGUAAUGUUGAAAACCCUUUCAGGUGUGCAGCAUCACCUUCCCUCUUCUGCAGGUGUUCAUGGAAAGAAGGUUCAGGCCGCAACUGUGGUGCUGUCCAACUGGGGAACCUUGGGCGAGCCGCCUGACUCACUUUACUCCCUGGGAGAAUGAGGAUUGUAACAGCCCUACCUUGUUCUCUGCACAGGCUGGAGAGGGUCACACAGCAGAAUCCCGGUCAUCCCUACUACCAUCAUCGUCAUUACCAUUAUCAUCAUCAUCAUGGCACUAGCCUGUGUUGGUCACUCCCUGCCGUCAAGCUGUGCCUCAUCUCAUCUUCACAGCUUCUCUGAGGUGGCUACUCUUGUCAUUUUCAUUUGACAGGUGAUAGAACAUCACAUAGCAGGAAGUUUCCUCCUGCCCGUUUUGUGGGAUAAUGAUGGACGUUGGAGCGGGGCCCAGCGCCAAGAAGGCCAGUUAGGCAAGAACACAGUAUCCAGGUGUCACAGCUCCUGAAUCGCAGAGUGAAUGAGACUUGUCCUCAGGAGGUCCUGGAAUGGUUUGCGAUGGAAAAAAUAUUCUCCAGUGAGGAUUAAAAAAAGAAAAGCGAUUUCCUUGGGAAGUAGCCAGAAAGUCAGCACGAGCCCUGUCAGAGUCAUGCUGCAUGGAAAGAACAUGGAUUUGGGGGUCAGAAGAUCUGUCUGCAUGGUGUAGGGCAAGUGACUUCACCUCUCUGAGUCUUGGUUUCCUCACCUCCCAGAGCGACUGUCAGAAUAUAUGCAAUCCGUAUAAUAAUAAAAUAAUGUAUUAAAGCCCUUCGUGCACACACAGGUGCUAAAAACAAAAACAAAGCGUGCUGUGUAUUACCCACGUGCCCCACCAGAUUGGCCCUCCCUCCUCCACCCAGGGAAGCACCUGGGCUUCUCUGCUCUCUGG